CGAUAGGCUCCAGGUUUCCCGUGACCCUGAAAAGGAUAAGCGGUAUAGAAGAUGGAUGGUUGGAUGUUGUAGGGUUCUGCACCACACCUUUAAGGGUUCAUCCAGUGGAAAAGAAAGAAAGAAAUAAAACGUCCUAGCUUUAUUUCUUAUAUUGGAUAAUUAAAGCAUAUCGUCUAUGAACUGAAUCAUAUCGGUGCUGAACUGAAUCAUAUUGGUGCUGAGCUGAAUCAUAUAGGUGCUGAGCUGAAUCAUAUCGGUGCUGAACUGAAUCAUAUAGGUUCUGAGCUGAAUCAUAUAGGUGCUGAGCUGAAUCAAAUCGGUGCUGAACUGAAUCAUAUAGGUGCUGAACUGAAUCAUAUUGGUGCUGAACUGAAUCAUAUCGGUGCUAAACUGAAUCAUAUCGGUGCUGAACUGAAUCAUAUAGGUGCUAAACUGGGUCAUAUAGGUGCUAAACUGAAUCAUAUCGGUGCUGAACUGAAUCAUAUAGGUGCUAAACUGAAUCAUAUAGGUGCUGAACUGAAUCAUAUAGGUGCUGAAAUUAACCAUAAUGCUGCUAAACGGAAUCACCUUUUAGAAUUAAUUCCUAAUCCUGUUGGACUUAAUUGACUUGCUGAGUUAAUUCAACACUGGGAUUAUCGGAAGUGAUCGAAUGAUAAGCCUCAGUAUUGACUUUAUUUACUGUGUGUUCUUCUACUGAUAAAAACCAACAGCAACGCAAGUAAAUACAGAUGCUGAGUUUUUCCACCUGGAGCCUGGGGUAUAGAUUAAACUUAAUGAACCCUUU
Molecule: long non-coding RNA, 784 nt
Organism: Ictalurus punctatus (channel catfish)
Lineage: Eukaryota; Metazoa; Chordata; Actinopteri; Siluriformes; Ictaluridae
Source: Ensembl